UGCGCAGUAGCCAAGCGGUAAGGCACAGGUCUUUGAAACCUGCAUCCCGAGGGUUCGAAUCCCGCCUGCGCAACCA
RNAcentral lists this transfer RNA (76 nucleotides) under Bacteriophage sp. Its description in RNAcentral is "tRNA-Gln". It matches the Rfam family "tRNA". From Rfam's summary of the family: Transfer RNA (tRNA) molecules are approximately 80 nucleotides in length. Their secondary structure includes four short double-helical elements and three loops (D, anti-codon, and T loops). The record is from RNAcentral.